Molecule: ribosomal RNA, 499 nt
Filed under: uncultured bacterium
Lineage: Bacteria
Description: partial 16S ribosomal RNA
Rfam family: Bacterial small subunit ribosomal RNA
Source: RNAcentral
GACGAACGCUGGCGGCGUGCCUAAUACAUGCAAGUCGAGCGAAGUUUUUCUGGUGCUUGCACUAGAAACACUUAGCGGCGCACGGGUGAGUAACACGUAAAGAACCUGCCUCAUAGACUGGGACAACUAUUGGAAACGAUAGCUAAUACCGGAUAACAGCAUUAACUGCAUGGUUGAUGUUUAAAAGUUGGUUUUGCUAACACUAUGAGAUGGCUUUGCGGUGCAUUAGCUAGUUGGUGGGGUAAAGGCCUACCAAGGCGACGAUGCAUAGCCGACCUGAGAGGGUGAUCGGCCACACUGGGACUGAGACACGGCCCAGACUCCUACGGGAGGCAGCAGUAGGGAAUCUUCCGCAAUGGGCGAAAGCCUGACGGAGCAACGCCGCGUGAGUGAAGAAGGAUUUCGGUUCGUAAAGCUCUGUUGUUAGGGAAGAAUGAUUGUGUAGUAACUAUACACAGUAGAGACGGUACCUAACCAGAAAGCCACGGCUAACUACGUG